UUGGGGAAUAUUUCGUCAAGCGAGCGGUGCUCUCAAGCCGGCUGGGUGGAUGGAGCCGCCUUCUCCUCCUCGUCCACACGAUGCGUAGUGAUCGGUGACCUGGCUGAGCCCCCCGCCUCGUUCGACGCCUGAAAACACCUGGCUCGAAUCUGAGUCGUCUGCCUGGGCAAGAGCAACGACGGCUCGUCGCUCUUGACACAGCCUUCGGUGAGCUCCGCGAGCCACGCCAUCACCUCUGCCAAUCGUCACCAGCCCCUUCCGCCGGCUAGCGUCUAUAAUGAGGGACGAGAUGGAGGAUGAAAAUGGGAUGGAUAUGAGAUGCCUCGGGGGGUGGGGGGGGGUUGAGUGCCGGCCUCUGACCUUUCCCUCGCCGCCCGCUGCCGGCGCUCCCCGUUUGAAGGCGAAGCAGCCUGUGGCUUGCGGAAGGUGACUCUGAUGUGAGAUGUGAGGCUUUCUGGGAGCCUCUGAUGUGCAAAUGAGGCGAGAAGGCGCACGUCACGGGCCAUGAGUGGCCCCUGAUAUCCGCUUGACAGAUCCCGCGGAGAGUAUUUAUUCACAAACGGAAUGUAUUGAUGAGGUGAGGACUAACUAGCGAGCCCCCCUGAAUUGCUCGUUGUUAUUACUAAGGGUGAGAUGGCCUAACCCCUGACCAGUACAACAUAGCAGCCUUGCACGAACUGCACAUGCGCUGCUGUCCAAAUACAUCUAUCUGCAUCUCCGUCGACCUGAACGGUUUUUUUUUGUGCCUGAUUUGGCUUAAUCUAAUAAACGUGGGAAAAUAAAAAAUUAUGUGUGCGUUUUUUCCCCGACUCGAUUUGUUUAUGCACCGUCGCUUUUCACUUUCCCCGCUUUGAUUUGCCCUUCAAACUUGUCUGGAGAGCACAGCUUGAUUUAACAUGACUGGAUAUUGUGCAUAUAUUUACAAAAAAAAUAAAAACUCGUUAAUUAUAUUUGUAUUAAGCUGCUAUUGUUUCCUUUUGUUUGAGAUCGCAAUUUAACGUGUUGUGAAAAUCUAUCCUCGUGUUCUUUAGCGCAUAUGUUUUCCCUUAUGUGAUAAUGUUUUUCUCGACUCGACACUGGCCUAAGGAUUUGUUUUCUUAGUCGAACCACCAGGUCUACAUACAUACAUACGCGUUGAUUCAAUUGACCCUCGCCUGGUGAAAGUAAAGGAUUACUGUUCUGUUUUUGAAAGAUGUCAAAACAGAUGAAUUCCUUCGAGAAAGAAGCGUGCAGGAUUGUGUGGUUGUUGAUGGUUACGUAUCUCCAUAAACACAUAGAAGUGGGGAAUAGAUGAAUCGGAAAAUGAUAUUUAAAUGAUAUACAAGUUACUUGAUCAAUGAAACAAUAAUAAAGACAAAGAUUCCCCCGUACACUGUAGCCUUAACAGACUUUUGGGGCAAGUGCUGUAAGCGAGCACCUAUAAGGGCCGGCACGGCACACGAGGGGGUGGGUGGCCAACACCAC
This is a long non-coding RNA of Petromyzon marinus (sea lamprey), 1464 nucleotides long. RefSeq lists it as uncharacterized. NCBI's taxonomy places the organism in Eukaryota, Metazoa, Chordata, Hyperoartia, Petromyzontiformes, Petromyzontidae. The record is from RefSeq and is a predicted model, not a curated record.